Molecule: non-coding RNA, 1661 nt
Filed under: Brugia pahangi
Lineage: Eukaryota; Metazoa; Nematoda; Chromadorea; Rhabditida; Onchocercidae
Description: Eukaryotic large subunit ribosomal RNA
Rfam family: Eukaryotic large subunit ribosomal RNA
Source: Rfam by way of RNAcentral
UGACCUCAACUCAGUCGUGAUUACCCGCUGAAUUUAAGCAUAUAACUAAGCGGAGGAAAAGAAACUAACGAGGAUUUCCCUAGUAACGGCGAGUGAAAAGGAAAAAGCCCAACGCUGAAUCCAAUAGAUAUUAUAUGGCUAUAUGGAAAUGUAGCGUAUAGGUAUAACUAUCCGUAACAUAUUUUUACACCCAAAGUCCCCUUGAGCGGGGCUACAGUCCAUAGAAGGUGCUAGACCUGUACGGGUGAAAAAAGUUACGGUAGGUUAUUCCUUGGAGUCGGGUUGUUUGAGAUUGCAGCCCAAAGAGGGUGGUAAACCUCAUCUAAGGCUAAAUACGACCAUGAGACCGAUAGCAAACAAGUACCGUGAGGGAAAGUUGCAAAGAACUUUGAAGAGAGAGUUCAAGAGGGCGUGAAACCGCUGAGAUGGAAACGGAUAGAGUUAACGAAACUUAUCGGUAUUCAACCAAUUAAUUUAGCAAUCUUAAUUCAUUUCAUUAUUCAUUAAUAAUUUUUUUUUUUUAUUAAUGAAUAAAAUGAUAUUAAUGCUAAAUUAGCAAUAUAUGCAUAGAUUGGUGUAUUUACCGAUGGUAUGCAUCGAGAACUUCAUUUUAGCAUAUUAAUACAAGUUAAUUUAGUGGACCAAUUAUUUCAAUUGAUAAUUGGAAUCCUAAAUUAUGUUGAAAUAUGUCUUAGAUGAAGUUUUUUUUUUUUUCCCAUAUAUGUAACUUUCACUUGAAAUAAUAGUGACAUGUAUCGAUUAUAAUUUUGCUUAUUAUUAUUUUACAUGUGGUCGCAUGCGACUUUAUCGGUAAAAAUAAUUGGUAAUAUUAUAAUAUUGUAUGCAAUAAAGUUACAUCUCGAUGUGAACGUUAAUCACCUAUCUGACCCGUCUUGAAACACGGACCAAGGAGUCUAGCAUAUACGCAAGUUAUUGGGUAGUAAACCUAAUUUAAAAGAUAAAAAGCAUAAUGAAAGUAAAGAUUAUCUUUGGUAUAAUUGAUAUGUGAUCUAUAUAUAUAUAUAUAUAUAUAUAUAUAUAUGUAUAUGUAGCGUAACAUAACCCCGUUCAUGUUGCAUGCAAUAGGGCGGAGGUAGAGCGUAUAUGCUGGGACCCGAAAGAUGGUGAACUAUACCUGAGCAGGAUGAAGCCAGAGGAAACUCUGGUGAAGGUCCGAAGCGAUUCUGACGUGCAAAUCGAUCGUCUGACUUUGGUAUAGGGGCGAAAGACUAAUCGAACUAUCUAGUAGCUGGUUCCCUCUGAAGUUUCCCUCAGGAUAGCUGGAGUACGUUAAAUAAAGCAGUUAUAUUCGGUAAAGCGAAUGAUUAGAGGAAUUGUGGGACGAAACGUCUUCAACCUAUUCUCAAACUUUCAAUGAGUAUGACGUCUUGCUUGCUUAAAUUUUUUAUGAAGCAUAGACAUUGAAUGUGUACUCCAAGUGGGCCAUUUUUGGUAAGCAGAACUGGCGCUGUGGGAUGAACCAAACGUUGAGUUAAAGUGCCAAACUUUCCGCUCAUGAGACCCCAUGAAAGGCGUUGGUUGAUAUAGACAGCAGGACGGUGGCCAUGGAAGUUGGAAACCGCUAAGGAGUGUGUAACAACUCACCUGCCAAAUCAACUAGCCCUGAAAAUGGAUGGCGCUUGAGCGGGAGACUUAUACUC